Molecule: ribosomal RNA, 274 nt
Filed under: uncultured bacterium
Lineage: Bacteria
Description: partial 16S ribosomal RNA
Rfam family: Bacterial small subunit ribosomal RNA
Source: RNAcentral
AAACGUAGGGCGCAAGCGUUGUCCGGAAUCACUGGGCGUAAAGGGCGCGCAGGCGGUUUGGUAAGUCAGAUGUGAAAGCCCACGGCUCAACCGUGGAAGUGCAUUUGAAACUGUCAGACUUGAGUACUAGAGGGGAAAGUGGAAUUCCCGGUGUAGAGGUGAAAUUCGUAGAUAUCGGGAGGAAUACCGGUGGCGAAGGCGACUUUCUGGCUAGAUACUGACGCUGAGGCGCGAAAGCGUGGGGAGCAAACAGGAUUAGAAACCCUAGUAGUCC